CACCAGGUAAUUAUCAGAACUGAUUUGC
Molecule: small RNA, 28 nt
Filed under: Bombyx mori (domestic silkworm)
Lineage: Eukaryota; Metazoa; Arthropoda; Insecta; Lepidoptera; Bombycidae
Description: ovarian small RNA-12938
Source: RNAcentral